UCGAGAAUCUUCGGCAAUGGGCGCAAGCCUGACCGAGCGACGCCGCGUGGAGGACGAAGGCCUUCGGGUUGUAAACUCCUGUCGAGGGGGAACAAGGCCGCGCGAAGAGCGUGGCUUGAGUGAUCCCUGGAGGAAGCACGGGCUAAGUUCGUGCCAGCAGCCGCGGUAAGACGAACCGUGCGAACGUUAUUCGGAAUCACUGGGCUUAAAGCGCGUGUAGGCGGCCCGGCACGUCAUCGGCUGAAAUCCCCCGGCUCAACCGGGGAAGGGGCCAUGAUACGACCGGGCUGGAGGGGUGUAGGGGGGACGGGAACUCACGGUGGAGCGGUGAAAUGCGUUGAGAUCGUGAGGAACGCCCGCGGCGAAAGCGCGUCCCUGGACAUCACCUGACGCUGAGACGCGAAAGCCAGGGGAGCGAACGG
Molecule: ribosomal RNA, 422 nt
Filed under: uncultured bacterium
Lineage: Bacteria
Description: bacterial SSU rRNA
Rfam family: Bacterial small subunit ribosomal RNA
Source: RNAcentral